This 117-nucleotide ribosomal RNA is filed under the name Sinocyclocheilus rhinocerous. The record is from RNAcentral. Lineage: Eukaryota; Metazoa; Chordata; Actinopteri; Cypriniformes; Cyprinidae.
GCCGCCAGCCAUAUCACCCUGUAGCCCAAGACUGGUUGCCCACUGAAGCUAAGCAGGGCUGAGCCUGGGCAGUACCUGGAUGGGAGACCUCCAGGGAAAACUAGGUUGCUGCUGGAA